ACAGGACUGAAAAUCCU
Molecule: transfer RNA, 17 nt
Filed under: Combretum paniculatum
Lineage: Eukaryota; Viridiplantae; Streptophyta; Magnoliopsida; Myrtales; Combretaceae
Description: partial tRNA-Phe
Source: RNAcentral